RNAcentral lists this ribosomal RNA (292 nucleotides) under uncultured bacterium. RNAcentral's name for it is "partial 16S ribosomal RNA". RNAcentral also lists the same sequence under 1 other name. The record is from RNAcentral.
GGACUACUAGGGUAUCUAAUCCCGUUUGCUCCCCUAGCUUUCGCACCUCAGCGUCAGUCACGGUCCAGUGAGCCGCUUUCGCCACCGGUGUUCCUCCUGAUAUCUACGCAUUUCACCGCUCCACCAGGAGUUCCACUCACCCCAACCGUCCUCAAGCCGGGCUGUAUCGGAUGCAAUUCCCCGGUUGAGCCGGGGGCUUUCACAUCCGACGGACCCAGCCGCCUACGUGCGCUUUAUGCCCAGUGAUUCCGAACAACGUUCGUGGCCUCUGUCUUACCGCGGCUGCUGGCAC